GCCUAUGGCCAUACUAGUCUGAAAGUGCCUGAUCUCGUCAGAUCUCAGAAGUAAUGCAGACUUGGGCCUGCUUAGGUAUACAGCGAAAAGCUGGGGAGACC
Molecule: non-coding RNA, 101 nt
Organism: Pelobates cultripes (western spadefoot toad)
Lineage: Eukaryota; Metazoa; Chordata; Amphibia; Anura; Pelobatidae
Source: the annotation of a GenBank genome assembly